This 468-nucleotide ribosomal RNA is filed under the name uncultured bacterium. Its description in RNAcentral is "partial 16S ribosomal RNA". It matches the Rfam family "Bacterial small subunit ribosomal RNA", at positions 28 to 507 of the family's 1533-position model. The record is from RNAcentral.
GACGAACGCUGGCGGCGUGCUUAACACAUGCAAGUCGAACGGAAAGGCCCUGCUUUUGUGGGGUGCUCGAGUGGCGAACGGGUGAGUAACACGUGAGUAACCUGCCCUUGACUUUGGGAUAACUUCAGGAAACUGGGGCUAAUACCGGAUAGGAGCUCCUGCGGCAUGGUGGGGGUUGGAAAGUUUCGGCGGUUGGGGAUGGACUCGCGGCUUAUCAGCUUGUUGGUGGGGUAGUGGCUUACCAAGGCUUUGACGGGUAGCCGGCCUGAGAGGGUGACCGGCCACAUUGGGACUGAGAUACGGCCCAGACUCCUACGGGAGGCAGCAGUGGGGAAUAUUGCACAAUGGGCGGAAGCCUGAUGCAGCAACGCCGCGUGCGGGAUGACGGCCUUCGGGUUGUAACCCGCUUUCGCCUGUGACGAAGCGUGAGUGACGGUAAUGGGUAAAGAAGCACCGGCUAACUACGUG